CAUUAAACUAAUACAGUUAUUAUAGAUUAAAGUUSUAAGGUCCAGAAAUGUUUUAGAAUUAUUUACUUUUCAUAUUCAUUGUGCAUGCAGAUYAAGGCACAAGGUUAAAACUGAUGAUAAGCAUGGACGCACCAAGCGCUCAUACAGUACCGGGACAGAAAAACCCUGUUCCAUGAGGGUUCUUUAUUUCCAAAGUUUGGGGAGGGCAGAAGAAAUACUAAGAAAAGCUGAAGCAUGAAAGAAAAGUGAGAAGAAAGAGAAUAGAAGACUUCAGUCUGAGACUGAACAGACAUGCUUGUCUUGAGCUGAGGAACACAUGUAACAGCAGCACUGCCAUCUCCAGAACUUGUGACAGCUGCUGAGGUCUUCAGUCCAUGAGGUAAGUUAUGUAGGACUUGGUAGAAGCAGUUGCUCAAGUGAUGAUUGGUAACUUGUGGUUUAAAAA
This 445-nucleotide long non-coding RNA is filed under the name Dromaius novaehollandiae (emu). RNAcentral describes it as "lncRNA (ENSDNVG00000018096.1)". The record is from RNAcentral. Lineage: Eukaryota; Metazoa; Chordata; Aves; Casuariiformes; Dromaiidae.